Thunnus maccoyii (southern bluefin tuna) is the source of this 800-nucleotide non-coding RNA. The record is from the annotation of a RefSeq genome assembly. NCBI's taxonomy places the organism in Eukaryota, Metazoa, Chordata, Actinopteri, Scombriformes, Scombridae.
GGUGUUGCGAAGAUGAUAUUUGGGAGAGGAACUCGGCUGAUAGUCGACUCAGGGAAUGACUUUAAACCAUCCUACUUUGAACUACAGGAUGAUAAGUCGAAAUUAUGCCUGGCCACUGGUUUCAGCCGAUAUGACGCAACAGACGGUAAACCCAAGCUUUUCAAGGGCACAGAGCCUGUCCGGAUAUCAGGAGACUCUCUGUUCAACCGGGUGGCUUGGAUAGGAAAUGACAAGGAGGAGUGCGAGUCAAUUUCAGCAGAUGAUGAACCUUAUGUUCCAUGUGAAGAUACUUUGGAGCCAGGUGCGAAGGUAAACAUCAUGUCUCUGACCAUCCUGGGCCUCAGGAUUAUCUUUGUGAAGACCAUCAUCUUCAACGUCCUGAUGACUCUGCGGCUGUGGAUCAGUCAGUGAGCUCAUCAGAGCUUCACCAAGAAAAAACUCCAAGAUGGCGGAUUCACAGGAGUUUCAGAUGAAGCAUCAAGUUCAAUGCUCACCUUCAUCGUGUAUAAACAUGUAAUAAUAUCAUAUGACCUGUUCAUCAUACCAUCUGUUAAUGUCUUAAUACUGUGGACAGUCAUGAGGGCGUCCUGUAAUACAUGUAACAUUUAGUAUUUUGUAGAAGUUGUUUUUGCUUUUGAUGAAUUAAUUUUUACUCUUGUUUGUCCUGCUGAUGUAAAUAUCACAGUUACAGUUAAAAGUCUGACAGACUGAUUGUCCUGCUUUUAGUAUAAAAAAACCCUUUUAAUAACCUCUCUAUGUUAUAUUUCCUGUGUGAUGUUUCAAUAAACAUUGAAAAACGA